GUCAUAUGCUUGUCUCAAAGAUUAAGCCAUGCAUGCCUAAGAACACGUACUUGUACUACGAAUCCGUAUACGGCUCAUUAUAACAGCUUUUAUUUAAGGGAGUUAUGGAUUUUCCAUUGGAUAACUAUGGUAAUUCUAUAGCUAAUACAUUCAUGCAAAGUGUAACUCACGAAGCACUGAAUUUAUUAGAUCAAAGCCAUUCCGGUUCUGCCGGUUCUUGAUGACUCAUAGUGACUUAUCUAAUCGUAUGGCCUUAGCGCUGGCGAUGCAUCCCUUUAAGAGGCUGACCUAUCAACUUUCGAUGGUAAGUUAAAGGCUUACCAUGGUUAUAACGGGUAACGGGAAAUCAGGGUUUGAUUCCGGAGAGGGAGCCUUAGAAACGGCUACCACAUCUACGGAUGGCAGCAGGCACGUAACAUUCCCAAUGCUUGAAAAGCGAGGAUGUGAAGAUAAAUAACAAUAUGAGCCAUUAUGGUAUCAUAAUUGUAAUGAGAUCAGUUUAAAUAACUUACCGAGUAACAAUUGGAGGGCAAGUCUGGUGCCAGCAGCCGCGGUAAUUCCAGCUCCAAUAGUGUAUAUUAAAGUUGUUGCAGUUAAAACGCUCGUAGUCGUAACUGAGGUAGCUUUCUGUCAUGUACCCUCGGGUACUUGAUAGUAACUGCCUUCCCAGUCGUGUACACUGCUGAUGUGCCUAACCGUAUGCCAGUAGAGACCGACAAGUUUACUUUGAAAAAAUUAGAGUGCUUAAAGCAGGCUUUUGCUUGAAUAUUGAUGCAUGGAAUAAUGGAAUAGGACUUUGGUUCUAUUUUAUUGGUUUUCGGAACUGAAGUAAUGGUUAAAAGAGACAGCCGAGGGCAUACGUACGCUGGUGUGAGAGGUGAAAUUCAUAGAUCAUCAGCAGACGAACAACUGCGAAAGCUUUUGCCCAGAAUGUUCCCAUUGAUCAAGAACGAAAGUCAGAGGAUCGAAGGCGAUCAGAUACCGCCCUAGUUCUGACCAUAAACUAUGCCAACUGACGGUUCGUUAAGGCACACGUUAAGCCUUGCGAGCAGUCACCGGGAAACUAAAGUCUAUGGGUUCCGGGGGAAGUAUGGUUGCAAAGCUGAAACUUAAAGGAAUUGACGGAAGGGCACCACCAGGGGUGGAGCCUGCGGCUUAAUUUGACUCAACACGGGAAAUCUCACCCGGUCCGGACACUGUGAGGAUUGACAGAUUGAUAGCUCUUUCUUGAUUCGGUGGGUGGUGGUGCAUGGCCGUUCUUAGUUGGUGGAUUGAUUUGUCUGGUUAAUUCCGAUAACGAACGAGACUCUAACCUACUAACUAGUACUUGCGUGAACUUCUUUAGCGCAAAUUAACUUCUUAGAGGAAUUAGCGACUUUUAGUCGAAUGAAAUAGAGCAAUAACAGGUCUGUGAUGCCCUUAGAUGUCCGGGGCCGCACGCGCGCUACAAUGGCAGUACCAGCGAGUUUUUUUCCUAGCCUGAAAGGGUCGGGUAACCUGCGAAUUACUGUCAUAUCUGGAAUAGUGGUUUGAAAUUAUUCCACUUGAACGAGGAAUCCCUAGUAAGUACAAGUCACUAGCUUGUGCUGAUUACGUCCCUGCCCUUUGUACACACCGCCCGUCGCUACUACCGAUUGAAUGAGUUAGUGAGGUUGUUGGAUCUGGCUCUAAGUGACGACAGUUACUAUGAGUCGGAAAAGACACCCUAACUUGCUUGUUUAGAGGAAGUAAAAGUCGUAACAAG
RNAcentral lists this ribosomal RNA (1744 nucleotides) under Oregoniplana geniculata. RNAcentral's name for it is "SSU rRNA". It matches the Rfam family "Eukaryotic small subunit ribosomal RNA". Lineage: Eukaryota; Metazoa; Platyhelminthes; Tricladida; Cercyridae. The record is from RNAcentral.